UGCCUUUCUGUGCCCUGAUGCCCUUC
This 26-nucleotide non-coding RNA is filed under the name Rattus norvegicus (Norway rat). Lineage: Eukaryota; Metazoa; Chordata; Mammalia; Rodentia; Muridae. The record is from RNAcentral.